GCCACAGACCAUACACACCCAUUACCAAUGAGCAAUAGAUUCCGGUAACCCCCUCCUGUCUACCAGAGUCCUCUCCCUGUAACCCAGAAUGUUUGCACGUCCCACCCGCGCUUUGCCCAGCUCCUCACUGUCCUUGGACUUCCCUGGAGAACGUAGAACUGAUGUGCACUGUUGGCUCCUGUUGUGCUGCACAGGCCUCCGUACAAACGGAACUCAAGGUGGGUGUUCGCAACUGACACGGUGUAGAAAUGCUUUUUAAUGGUGAGCUUUAAAGAUAAUAGUAAAAUAAAGAGAAAGAAAAUAAUGGUCGAAAGAACAUCACUAAUUUAGGCAGUGAAGCCAUUAGCUAUAGCAGAACAAAAUUGCAUUCUAAUUUCUUGUAAAACGUGUAACUCAGCACAAAAUCAAAUUUCGUUUCAUCUUCAGAUCUUCAUCCUGUUUCCAAACAAGAUUGCCC
Molecule: long non-coding RNA, 457 nt
Filed under: Mus musculus (house mouse)
Lineage: Eukaryota; Metazoa; Chordata; Mammalia; Rodentia; Muridae
Description: lincRNA-EC31
Source: RNAcentral